UUCCGGUUGAUCCCGCCGGACCUGACUGCUAUCGGAUUGAUACUAAGCCAUGCGAGUCUUUGUAGUAAUACAAGGCAGACGGCUCAGUAACACGUAGUCAACCUACCCUAUGGACAAGAAUAAUCUCGGGAAACUGGGCAUAAUUCUUGAUAGAUCAUAAUGCCUGGAAUGGUUUAUGGUUAAAAUGAUUCGUCGCCAUAGGAUGGGACUGCGGCCUAUCAGCUUGUUGGUGAGGUAAUGGCCCACCAAGGCGAUUACAGGUACGGGCUCUGAGAGGAGAAGCCCGGAGAUGGGUACUGAGACACGGACCCAGGCCCUAUGGGGCGCAGCAGGCGAGAAAACUUUGCAAUGUGCGAAAGCACGACAAGGUUAAUCCGAGUGAUUUCUGCUAAAGAAAUCUUUUGCCAGUCAUAAAACCACUGGUGAAUAAGGGGUGGGCAAGUUCUGGUGUCAGCCGCCGCGGUAAAACCAGCACCUCAAGUGGUCAGGAUGAUUAUUGGGCCUAAAGCAUCCGUAGCCGGCUUUGUUAGUUUUCGGUUAAAUCCAUGUGCUCAACGCAUGGGCUGCCGAAAAUACUGCAUGGCUAGGGAGUGGGAGAGGUAGACGGUACUCAGUAGGAAGGGGUAAAAUCCUUUGAUCUAUUGAUGACCACCUGUGGCGAAGGCGGUCUACCAGAACACGUUCGACGGUGAGGGAUGAAAGCUGGGGGAGCAAACCGGAUUAGAUACCCGGGUAGUCCCAGCUGUAAACGAUGCAGACUCGAUGAUGCAUUGGCAUAAUAGCCAGUGCAGUGUCGCAGGGAAGCCGUUAAGUCUGCCGCCUGGGAAGUACGUACGCAAGUAUGAAACUUAAAGGAAUUGGCGGGGGAGCACCACAAGGGGUGAAGCCUGCGGUUCAAUUGGAUUCAACGCCGGG
RNAcentral lists this ribosomal RNA (915 nucleotides) under uncultured marine archaeon. RNAcentral describes it as "bacterial SSU rRNA". It matches the Rfam family "Archaeal small subunit ribosomal RNA", at positions 1 to 922 of the family's 1478-position model. The record is from RNAcentral.